CCUACUGGACGCAGCAGUGAGGAAUAUUGGUCAAUGGGAGAGAUCCUGAACCAGCCAAGCCGCGUGAGGGAAGACGGCCCUAUGGGUUGUAAACCUCUUUUGUCGGAGAACAAAACCCGGGACGUGUCCCGGACUGCGUGUAUCCGAAGAAAAAGCAUCGGCUAACUCCGUGCCAGCAGCCGCGGUAAUACGUAGGGGGCGAGCGUUAUCCGGAUUUACUGGGUGUAAAGGGAGCGUAGACGGUUCUGCAAGUCUGAAGUGAAAGCCCGUGGCUUAACCGCGGAACGGCUUUGGAAACUGUGGAA
RNAcentral lists this ribosomal RNA (305 nucleotides) under uncultured bacterium. RNAcentral describes it as "bacterial SSU rRNA". It matches the Rfam family "Bacterial small subunit ribosomal RNA", at positions 338 to 640 of the family's 1533-position model. The record is from RNAcentral.